GGGACGAACGCUGGCGGCGUGCUUAACACAUGCAAGUCGAGCGGUAAGGCUCCUUCGGGAGUACACGAGCGGCGAACGGGUGAGUAACACGUGAGCAAUCUGCCCUUCUCUUCGGAAUAACCAUUGGAAACGAUGGCUAAUGCCGAAUACGACCUCCUUUCGCAUGAUCGGAGGUGGAAAGCUCCGGCGGAGAAGGAUGAGCUCGCGGCCUAUCAGCUAGUUGGCGGGGUAACGGCCCACCAAGGCGACGACGGGUAGCCGGCCUGAGAGGGUGACCGGCCACACUGGGACUGAGACACGGCCCAGGCUCCUACGGGAGGCAGCAGUGGGGAAUAUUGGACAAUGGGCGAAAGCCUGAUCCAGCAACGCCGCGUGAGGGAUGACGGCCUGGGUGUAAACCUCUUCAGCAGGACGAAGCGAAAGUGACGUACCUGCAGAAGAAGACCGGCCAACUACGUGCCAGCAGCCGC
RNAcentral lists this ribosomal RNA (470 nucleotides) under uncultured soil bacterium. RNAcentral's name for it is "bacterial SSU rRNA". It matches the Rfam family "Bacterial small subunit ribosomal RNA", at positions 27 to 518 of the family's 1533-position model. The record is from RNAcentral.